This 119-nucleotide ribosomal RNA is filed under the name Pteropus vampyrus (large flying fox). The record is from RNAcentral. Lineage: Eukaryota; Metazoa; Chordata; Mammalia; Chiroptera; Pteropodidae.
AUCUAUGGCCAUGCUACCCUGAACAAACCCAAUCCCAUCUAAUCUCGGAAGCAACACAAGGUCAGGCCUGGUUAGUACUUGAAUGGGAGACCACUUAGGAAGACCAGGUGCUGUAGGAG